UACCGACGCCAGCUCGAUUGGGUAUGGUGCUAUUCUUUUACACCGAAUAAACUCUAAGCCUCAUGUGGUUGAAUAUUAUAGUAGAGCAACUAGCUCCUGUGAGUCCAGGUACACAUCCUACGAGUUGGAAACCCUGGCUGUCGUAAAUGCAGUAAAACAUUUUCGUCACUAUUUGCAUGGGAGAAAAUUCGUGAUUUUUACUGAUUGUAAUUCAAUCAAAUCUUCGCGUAAUAAAGUCGAGUUGUCACCUAGGGUUUAUCGUUGGUGGGAGUUUCUACAAACAUUUGAAUUCGAAAUUGAAUAUAGAGAUGGUAAACGCAUGGCACAUGUAGACUUUUUAUCUAGGAAUCCGGUGUGUCAAAAGUCAGUAUCAAGAAAAACAGAAGAGAAACGAAUUGACUUAACAGAAAUAUCAGAAAACUGGAUUUUGGUGGAACAACAAAAGGAUCCAGAAAUAUUAGAAAUCAUCAAAUGUUUUGUAUAGAAAGAUCCAGAGAAAUUCAAAAACUCGUUGUUUACCUGUAGUUCCUCGUGCGUUCCGUUGGUCAGUUAUAAAUCAGAUACAUGAGUCUAUCAUGCAUCUAGGCUGGCAGAAAA
Long non-coding RNA from Drosophila albomicans, 597 nucleotides. RefSeq lists it as uncharacterized. The record is from RefSeq and is a predicted model, not a curated record. Lineage: Eukaryota; Metazoa; Arthropoda; Insecta; Diptera; Drosophilidae. The transcript is spliced from 2 exons.